CAGAGGGUAGUUUAAUGAUUAGAAUUUUCGUUUUGGGGACGAAUGGUAGAAGUUUAAAUCUUUUCUCUCUGA
This 72-nucleotide transfer RNA is filed under the name Glossobalanus marginatus. RNAcentral describes it as "tRNA-Pro". It matches the Rfam family "tRNA". Rfam says of the family: Transfer RNA (tRNA) molecules are approximately 80 nucleotides in length. Their secondary structure includes four short double-helical elements and three loops (D, anti-codon, and T loops). Further hydrogen bonds mediate the characteristic L-shaped molecular structure. tRNAs have two regions of fundamental functional importance: the anti-codon, which is responsible for specific mRNA codon recognition, and the 3' end, to which the tRNAs corresponding amino acid is attached (by aminoacyl-tRNA synthetases). tRNAs cope with the degeneracy of the genetic code in two manners: having more than one tRNA (with a specific anti-codon) for a particular amino acid; and 'wobble' base-pairing, i.e. permitting non-standard base-pairing at the 3rd anti-codon position. The record is from RNAcentral. Lineage: Eukaryota; Metazoa; Hemichordata; Enteropneusta; Ptychoderidae.